Molecule: ribosomal RNA, 1279 nt
Filed under: Bacillus sp. PC-2010
Lineage: Bacteria; Bacillati; Bacillota; Bacilli; Caryophanales; Bacillaceae
Description: partial 16S ribosomal RNA
Rfam family: Bacterial small subunit ribosomal RNA
Source: RNAcentral
GGGGAUUGUGUAUUGUUGCUCGUCGUAUACAUGCAGUCGAGCGGACAGAAGGGAGCUCUGCUCGCGAAGUGUACGGCGGACGUGUGAGUACACGUGGAACCUGCCUGUAGACUGGAUACUCCGGGGAAGCUGGAGCUAUACGGAUAGUUCCUUGACGCAUGUUCACUUGAAGACGUUUCGGCUGUCACUACAGAUGGACCCGCGCGCAUUAGCUAGUUGGUGGGGUAAUGGCUCACCAAGCGACGAUGCGUAGCCACCUGAGAGGUGAUCGCCACACUGGGGACUGGAGACACGGCCAGACUCCUACGGGAGGCAGCGUUGGAAUGAGUAAUGAAGGUUUUCGGAUCGUAAAGCUCUGUUGUUAGGGAAGAACAAGUGCAAGAGUAACUGCUCGCACUUUGACGGUACUAAACCAGAAAGCCACGGCUAACUACGUGCCAGCAGCCGCGGUAAUACGUAAGUUGCAAGCGUUGUCCGGAAAUAUGGGCGUAAAGGCUCGCAGCGGUUUCCUAAAGUCUGAUGUGAAAGCUCCGCUUCAACGGGAGGGUCAUUGGAAACUGGGAAACUUGAGUCCAGAAGAGGAGAGUGGAAUUCACGUGUAGCGGUGAAAUGCGUAAAGAUGUGGAGGAACACCAGUGGCGAAGCGACUCUCUGGUCUGUAACUGACGCUGAGGAGCGAACGUGGGGGAGCGACAGUAUUAGAUACCUGGUAGUCCACGCGUAACCCAUGAGUCCUAAGUGUUAGGGGUUCCGCCCUUAGUCCUGCAGCUAACGCAUAAGCACUCCGCUGGGAGUACGGCCGCAGAUUAAACUUAAAGAAUAACGGGGCCCCACAACCUGGACCAGUGGUAAAUCGAAGCACCGAAAGACCUAACAGGUUUGAAUCCUCUAAAACCUUAAGAAGGGUUUUCUUCGGGACAAAGUACAGGGGUGCUGGUUUUCGCCAGCUCGUGCGAGAGAUGUGGUUAAGUCCCGAACGGGGCACUCUUGUCUUAGUUCAUCCUUCGGUUGGCCUCUUAGUGAUUCCGGGACAACCGGAAAGGGGGGUUGAUUCAAUCACCAGCCCCUAUGACUGGUCACACCUGCUAAAUGACAAACAAAGGCCUCCAGACCGCAGGUUAGCAAUCCAAAAUUGUCUCAGUCGAACCGAUCUCCACUGCACCCGUAGUUGAAUCCUGAUAUCGGAUACACCUCGGGUAAACUCUCCCGCGCUUUACACCCGCGCCUACACCGAAGUUAAACCAGGGCGCGGAUACCUUUGGCCGCCGAAGUCAAUUGU